CGGGCGGAGCCGCCCCUGGCGAGCGCCACGCCCCAGAAAGGCCAGCGGCGCCAAGGCCACAAACCCCGAAGAUUUGGCGGAAAGGUGCAGACACCUAGGACGCGAGUACCGCGCGCAGCGGGCCACACGGCCACUGGAGGUGGGUGUCUUCACGGGCUGUGGUGCAGGACACUCACCGUGGAGCCACGGCUGGGAUCCGUGGGGCUUCAGGAAGGCCAGUGAGGGAGGGGGCCGCCUCCCAGCUCCCCCUCCCCUGCGCGGAGGAUCGCCUCUACUGUUGCUUGCCGGUGGGUCGUGAGGUUUCAGGGAGCUCCGGGGGUGUGGCUGGGCAGAAAAAGAACAAUUCGGGGUGCUCUUCGCGGCGGGACGACCUGACUCUGCCGGCAGGGGUCCGUGUCGUGUGAGUGUGAACACAGGGAAGCGGUCUCGGCGGGUUUGCGGGGGUCGUAGGGAGACACCCGCCCGUCUCCGUUCUCGCGGUCGCUCUCACCUGCUCCAUUGGGCCAGAAGAAGGACCCUCGCCCCCCCACUGCUGGGCCUCUGGGCUCUGCCUUUGCUGCCCGGCUGUUGUAUAGAACUCGUUCCGAAGGCCCACCCGUGAGCAGGGUCCCAGCUGUUUCCUCGGGCUGUGUCAUCAGACGUUUCCGGAAUCGCUGGAGUGAAGGAUGUGUGCAUUUCUUGCGUGUGCUUGUGAGCCUUCCGGCACGUUCUGAGAAGCGACUCUUCUGGCCCCAUUCUGAGGAUGGAACGUGGGCGGUGGCUUCAGAGUCAGUGACCCGGGCACGUGUCCCCGCAUGGCCACGUCCCGCCUCGAGAUCCUGGCCAGUCUCAUGGCCCCAAGCCGUGGCAUUCUCACGGAUUCUCCUGGAUGCGAUUCGAAGCCACAGGUCCUGCCUCCACGGCUGCCCUCCACCCACACGGCCCCCACUUUGCAGCCACGCAGGAGGACACACGCUCAGUGACAGGCUCAGUAGACAGGCUCCCGUUCGCCCUGACUCGCCCUCCUCCCGCGCAUCUCUCCCGUUUGGGCCUGGAUGUCCAGACCGGCCUCCGGAGAGAAGGCUCACGGCGAGCUCCGUGCUGGUUCAAAGAUUUCACCAAAAACCCCACCGUUCGUGUGUCCGUGUCCACGGAGUUGGAUGUGGUGCGUGGCAGAACCCGGGGCUGGGAGUCCAGAAGCUUCUGUCCCUGCUCACCGUCUCACGGCCUGAGGUCUUGGGCAGCUCGCCCCCUGCUUCCACGCCUCAGUUUCCCCUUCUGAAAUCUCACGUCUUUGUAAUUCCCUGUAAUCCUGGAGACCCUGAGAAAGGCGCUCCAGGAGGACGGAGACAGAGGUGAUGAGACCCAGACGGCCGGUGGGACGUCCCCUCCCCUGACCUCCGGCAAAGACCACCCCU
This 1397-nucleotide long non-coding RNA is filed under the name Lynx canadensis (Canada lynx). RNAcentral describes it as "lncRNA (ENSLCNG00005013836.1)". Lineage: Eukaryota; Metazoa; Chordata; Mammalia; Carnivora; Felidae. The record is from RNAcentral.